UUUUUUUUUUGUUUUCGUUUCUUCUUUUUACGAAUGUUCGAUAAAAAGUUUAUUGUCAUGUUAGUAUAAUUAUAUUGUAACAUAUAUAUAUAUAUAUAUUAUUUUAAUUUUUUUUUUUUUUUGUAUUUUUAACGCGUUUUUUUUUUUUUUUGUCAAUGACUCGUUAUACCUUUUUCACUUAUUAUUUAUAUACUUAUAUAAGUAAUAUAUAUUUUUAUUAGUAUAUUUUUUUUUUUUUCACUGACCCUCGGCAAGGUCGUUAUCGCGGCGUACCCAUCACGACGACGACGGCUAUUAUAAUAGCACCUACCCUCCCUUCCCCGGAUCGAAACGACGGGAUGCCCGGCAGCAAACCCGGACGGGCCUCGCGAAAUCGUCAUUUACAAUCGGCUUUCUAAAACGGUCAAAUUCCCGACGGUUUCCAUCCGUUUCGCGUGAUUUCGGGCGCCGAGUCCCAUCCAUCCAAACGAAAAUCAAUACCUUUCCCGCGCGUAUUAUUUUUAUUCGAAUGAAAUUGUUGUUUAAACGUUUGUCGGUUUCUCUCUUACUCCUCGAUUCCGUCUCCUCGCAUUUCGUCGCUAAUGUCUCACAACCGCCGCGUAACAACCACGACGUGUAUCGACCGUGCCGUUGAACGGGAAAAGAAUUUUAAAAAACCGUAUACUCUCGGCCUAUACGACGGAGAAACUGAUUAUUUUUCGCGCGUAUACCUGCAAACCCGACACGCACCGGAUUGCAAGCCACCGUUUUUCGUCCGCGCGUCGAAUUCACGAAAGUCCGGCUUCUAUCGGGGGAGGGGAGCGUACGGACCCUUUGAAUCCCUUUCGCCCGUGAAUUCCGUCGUUCGCCGUUUCGCCAGAACGCGCGUAUAAAAUCGAGCCGACGGCCGUAUUCGAACAACGGUCGAAACGCGAAUUAUCGUUUUUCAUAAAAAUUCGUGACGUUGAAAUUCUCAAUAAAAAAAAAAAAAAAAAAACAAAAAAAAACCAAUUAAAACGAAAAACCGCAGCUUUUUUCUGUGUAGACCCGUCGGCCCGUUGCCUUUACACGGGUUUGCAAAAAGCACGGGAUAAUGUUAGACACUAACGCGGCUCGUGACGUGCGCAUCAUGCGUGUUUAAACGGUUCCCACUUACGCGUUGGGAAAACCGUCGCCGGGUAUUGGGUUUCGACCGAAAACGUGUUCGGGCGGCGCGGCGCCAAAGGUCCGAGUUUGCGCGAAAACCUCCCCCGGGGGCCCCGUGAUCAAUUAUUAUUAUCGUACGCGGUGAGAUCAAUUUUAUUAUUAUACUACGCGUUAUAAUUACUGUAUGACGUCAUAAUCGCGUCUCGUGUCGGCCGUACACGUAACGUUAUAAAUAAUUAACAUUGAUACAAUGUGAGCAAUUGUGAUUGCGUUAUAUUUUUUGUAUCAUGCCGUUCCGUAAUGUCUCGCAACGCGACGAUUCAUAACGAUAAUACAAUAAGCGCGCGAGAAGAAAAAAAAAAAAAAACGCUAAAAUAACAUUAUUUUUAGGUUACGAUAUUGUGUAUAAUUAUUAUUAAUGUAUGAUAACGGUGCUAUGGUAACGUAUAUAAUAGUAUAGUUAUCGGUUUAACGAACACGACGACAAAAAGACAAAAAUCUCGUAGUUUUCGUUUUUGAUAUUUUUUUUUUUUUUUUUUUUUAAAUUAUCUGUAUUUUGUAGCUAUACAAUAACGCGAUUCCGUUUCGUUUAUUUAAUUUGUUUUCUCUUUUCUAUCGGUCCGAUCCGUACCGCCAAAAAAUCACGUCGCGUUUUUAACAGCCUACAUGAUGUUGUAAUCAUUGAUAUUACUGUGUGUCCUCUUCGGUAUCCGGGGGAGCGAAACUCGAAUCAAUCGUUGCCGUUUUUCUUUUUGUCGACGUAAUUUCCUCUGUCCCCCCCCCCGUGCGCGUUUCGGUCCGAGCCGCGCGAAUCCAUCGCCGUACGGCGUAUCUGCCGAAAUUAAUUGGCCCAAAUGUUGACCGUACAAAUAAUUCUUCCCCGGGACCGAUGAUAAUAAUAUGAGAUGAGAUACUAUAAUGUCAACAAACUGUCCCCGCUCGACGAAAUAACGGAUCGUUUUUCGUAAACGUUUCAGUACGUUUAUAAUUAUCAUUAUUAUUAUCAUUAUUAUUAUUAUUAUUAUUAUUAUUAUUAUUAUUAUUAUUAUUAUUAUUAUUAUUGUAGUCCGUCGAACAUGUUCCGUAACUUGCCGUACGCGUUUUGCACAAUUUAUUAUUAUAUACAAAUUUAGCUAAUAAAAACAUUAAUUACAUUAUUAUAAUAUCCGUGAAAACAUUAUAACGUAUACGUUUAUUAUUAUUAUUAUUAUUAUUAUUAUUAAUGUCUUAAUUAUUUUAUUCGAAUAUAUAUUUAUAUAUAUUAUAAUAUUUAUUCGUCCGUGAUACAUAAUAAUAUAAUCGCAGUGGCGGCGCCCGGGGGUAAAAGUCAUUGAGUGUUAAUUAAUCGCAGCGGCGGCGGAUCCCGGAGGAGGACACGGGGGCACUUCCACCUGUCAAUGGACAACCGUUUUUGUUUUUAUAAUUUAUAAUUCGCUGAAAACAUAAAUAAAGUGCCCCCCCCCCUAACGUUAAAAAAAAAAAUGUCUGGAUCCACCGUUGAUUAAUCGGAACAACGCGGAGUAGAAUAUUAAGAAACUCGUCACCCGAGCUCCGCCCCUCCCCCCGCUCAAAACGCGUAACGUUACUGUUAUGAGCUAGGGUACCCUGACGCUUCGCCUCUAAAAAAAAACCCCCCGUCAUUCGAGACGUUUACCCCCUCCGCCACCCGAAUAAUAACGUAUCGUAACUAUUAUAGCGUCCAAGAGUGAGCUACAUAAAACCUGUGAUUUGCGAUCGCGAUACGAAGUUUCAAAAUGUACAUUAAAAAAAAAUACCCUCGGCCCUCUCUCACUCUCUCGCGGCUAUAAUAAUCGGUGAAACUUGCGGGUAGACCCGCGAUAAGGGCGACGCGUGUUCGAACGUUUUUCUUAUCCAGAAGGUCCGACGGCUAACGGCUCCAGGGAUGGAAAAAAAAAAAAAAAAUAACCGAAAACCGAAUCGCUCGUUAAUAACAUUACUUACACACCGGCCGUUUGUGAACGUUUUCCUUUUCGAACGUCGGACAAGUGCCCUACCUCCCCCCCCUUUUGCGCGUUUAUCAGUACGCGACAUUGCGCGCGCACGACCGUAGACGUUGGCCUCACGUAACCUAACCAAACCGAGUCGCGGCGAAUCGUGUCGAUCGACCCGCGAUAAAAACAAACGGUUCUCGCCUCACGAUCAAUUGUCAUUACGAAUGUUCUGCGCGUCUAUCGCGGGUGAACCGAUAGAAUUCGACCUCUUUACGGCUUUGCUUUGGAAAACGCGUUUCACGGCCGGCCCGUUGUAAUUAAUAACCCGUUACGAAUCGUUACGGUGGUAUCCGCGCGACCGUUUUACGGUUUCUUGUCGAUCCGGUUUUCAAACGGUUUUAUUGAUAUCGUAUAUUUUGUAGGCAUUUAACGACUCGCACCCCGCCCGCCCCUCCCCCCUCCCAUGUGCAAUAAAUAACGUUAGAUUUUUUAAUAAUAAUCGUUGAAUCCCGUGUUGUUAAUUAAUUGUACAUUAUUAUUAUUAUUAAAACUUCGUAGACGUAGUUUGCUCUGAUCUAACGAUUAAUUGAGUGUAUCAAUAGAAAUUAUUAUGGCCCGUGUGCGAAACGUAAUUUCGUUUACGUAUUAUGAACCAAGAAAAAUGUCAUUUGCGAGUUAAUUAUUGAAUUACCCCUACUUAUUAGCCGGUAUAGUUCGUAAUGAUUGUAAUUUAUUUUAUUUAUAUUUUUUUUUUUUUUUUUUUCGUACGUUUUUCUACCGUUUAAGCCUCUCCCAGUGUCCAGUCUCCACUUUUAGUCAAUUAUUAUUACUACGCUCGGAUCGCGUAUAAAUAUCGUAUUCGUACGCAUUUUUAUUAUUAUUAUUAUUAUUAAACCUACGUACAACACUAAUCGUUUAGAACUAGUACUAUUAAAUAAUAUUAUUAUUAUUAUUAUUAUUAUUAUAUUAUUAUUGUUUUAAUUUAAACACACAUUUUAAUAUACAAACAGACCUAUUAAACAUAA
Cinara cedri is the source of this 4102-nucleotide non-coding RNA. The record is from the annotation of a GenBank genome assembly. Lineage: Eukaryota; Metazoa; Arthropoda; Insecta; Hemiptera; Aphididae.